CAGUCCCGCGGUAAUGCGUAGGUGGCAAGCGUUGUCCGGAAUUAUUGGGCGUAAAGGGCUCGCAGGCGGUUUCUUAAGUCUGAUGUGAAAGCCCCCGGCUCAACCGGGGAGGGUCAUUGGAAACUGGGAAACUUGAGUGCAGAAGAGGAGAGUGGAAUUCCACGUGUAGCGGUGAAAUGCGUAGAGAUGUGGAGGAACACCAGUGGCGAAGGCGACUCUCUGGUCUGUAACUGACGCUGAGGAGCGAAAGCGUGGGGAGCGAACAGGAUUAGAUACCCCGGUAGUCCCUGUCUCUUAUACC
Molecule: ribosomal RNA, 301 nt
Filed under: uncultured bacterium
Lineage: Bacteria
Description: partial 16S ribosomal RNA
Rfam family: Bacterial small subunit ribosomal RNA
Source: RNAcentral